This 367-nucleotide ribosomal RNA is filed under the name uncultured bacterium. RNAcentral's name for it is "bacterial SSU rRNA". It matches the Rfam family "Bacterial small subunit ribosomal RNA", at positions 527 to 896 of the family's 1533-position model. The record is from RNAcentral.
GGAGGGUGCAAGCGUUAAUCGGAAUUACUGGGCGUAAAGUGCACGCAGGCGGUCUGUCAAGUCGGAUGUGAAAUCCCCGGGCUCAACCUGGGAACUGCAUUCGAAACUGGCAGGCUAGAGUCUUGUAGAGGGGGUAGAAUUCCAGGUGUAGCGGUGAAAUGCGUAGAGAUCUGGAGGAAUACCGGUGGCGAAGGCGGCCCCCUGGACAAAGACUGACGCUCAGGUGCGAAAGCGUGGGAGCAACAGGAUUAGAUACCCUGGUAGUCCACGCCGUAAACGAUGUCGACUUGGAGGUUGUGCCCUUGAGGCGUGGCUUCCGGAGCUAACGCGUUAAGUCGACCGCCUGGGGAGUACGGCCGCAAGGUUA